RNAcentral lists this ribosomal RNA (497 nucleotides) under uncultured bacterium. Its description in RNAcentral is "partial 16S ribosomal RNA". It matches the Rfam family "Bacterial small subunit ribosomal RNA", at positions 28 to 507 of the family's 1533-position model. The record is from RNAcentral.
GAUGAACGCUGGCGGCGUGCCUAAUACAUGCAAGUCGAGCGAACAGACGAGGAGCUUGCUCCUCUGACGUUAGCGGCGGACGGGUGAGUAACACGUGGAUAACCUACCUAUAAGACUGGGAUAACUUCGGGAAACCGGAGCUAAUACCGUAUAACAUGUUGAACCGCAUGGUUCAACAGUGAAAGACGGUCUUGCUGUCACUUAUAGAUGGAUCCGCGCCGCAUUAGCUAGUUGGUAAGGUAACGGCUUACCAAGGCAACGAUGCGUAGCCGACCUGAGAGGGUGAUCGGCCACACUGGAACUGAGACACGGUCCAGACUCCUACGGGAGGCAGCAGUAGGGAAUCUUCCGCAAUGGGCGAAAGCCUGACGGAGCAACGCCGCGUGAGUGAAGAAGGUCUUCGGAUCGUAAAACUCUGUUAUUAGGGAAGAACAAAUGUGUAAGUAACUAUGCACGUCCUGACGGUACCUAAUCAGAAAGCCACGGCUAACUACGUG